Non-coding RNA from Triticum urartu, 115 nucleotides. NCBI's taxonomy places the organism in Eukaryota, Viridiplantae, Streptophyta, Magnoliopsida, Poales, Poaceae. The record is from Rfam.
CACCUACUCCCUCCGUUCCGAAUUACUUGUCGCGGGCAUGGAUGUAUCUAGAUGUAUUUUAGUUCUAGAUACAUCCAUUUCUGUGACGAGUAAUUUGGAAUGGAGGGAGUACAUG